Molecule: ribosomal RNA, 253 nt
Filed under: uncultured bacterium
Lineage: Bacteria
Description: partial 16S ribosomal RNA
Rfam family: Bacterial small subunit ribosomal RNA
Source: RNAcentral
GACAGAGGUCCCAAGCGUUAGGCGGAAUCACUGGGCUUAAAGCGUGUGUAGGCGGACUUGUAAGUACCUUGUGAAAUCCCACGGCUCAACCGUGGAACUGCUGGGUAUACUGCGAGUCUUGAGCCACCUAGGGGCGAGCGGAACAAGUGGUGGAGCGGUGAAAUGCGUAGAUAUCACUUGGAACGCCAAUGGUGAAAACAGCUCGCUGGGGGUGUGCUGACGCUGAGACACGAAAGCCAGGGGAGCAAACAGG